GUCAAACUCCUUCGUGGAGGACGAGGGGAACGGCUCCGAGAGCUCGCGCUGCCGGAGGCCGAGGAGGAUGAGCUGAAGGACCUGGAUCGGGAGCGAGAGCGGGAGGAGGAGCGGGAAGGUGACGAAGAGCGGGAGGAGGAACCGGAACGAGCGCGACGAGCGCGGCCCGGUUUCGCCAUGAGCGGGAGAGGAGAUGAAACCCUAGAUUAAACCCUAGUGCCGAAGAGAACGG
RNAcentral lists this unclassified non-coding RNA (232 nucleotides) under Hevea brasiliensis (rubber tree). The record is from RNAcentral. Lineage: Eukaryota; Viridiplantae; Streptophyta; Magnoliopsida; Malpighiales; Euphorbiaceae.